UGGGGAAUAUUGCACAAUGGGCGCAAGCCUGAUGCAGCCAUGCCGCGUGUGUGAAGAAGGCUCUAGGGUUGUAAAGCACUUUCAGCGAGGAGGAAAGGUUAUUGGUUAAUACCCAAUAGCUGUGACGUUACUCGCAGAAGAAGCACCGGCUAACUCCGUGCCAGCAGCCGCGGUAAUACGGAGGGUGCGAGCGUUAAUCGGAAUUACUGGGCGUAAAGCGUGCGUAGGCGGCUACUUAAGUGGGAUGUGAAAGCCCCGGGCUCAACCUGGGAACUGCACCCCAAACUGGGUAGCUAGAGUGCGAGAGAGGAGUGUGGAAUUUCCUGUGUAGCGGUGAAAUGCGUAGAUAUAGGAAGGAACACCAGUGGCGAAGGCGACACUCUGGCUUGACACUGACGCUGAGGUACGAAAGCGUGGGGAGCAAACAGGAUUAGAUACCCUGGUAGUCCACGCCGUAAACGAUGUCGACUAGUUGUUGGAAGUCUUAGUACUUUUGGUGACGAAGCUAACGCGAUAAGUCGACCGCCUGGGGAGUACGGCCGCAAGGUUA
RNAcentral lists this ribosomal RNA (550 nucleotides) under uncultured bacterium. RNAcentral's name for it is "bacterial SSU rRNA". It matches the Rfam family "Bacterial small subunit ribosomal RNA", at positions 355 to 896 of the family's 1533-position model. The record is from RNAcentral.